GUACUUGUUUCGGCAGUACAUAUACUAAAAUUGGAAAGACACAGAGAAGAUUAGCAUGGCCCCUAUUUUAUAUCACAUUUCCUACAUUCUUUAAUUUUUAUU
Small nuclear RNA from Stegodyphus dumicola, 102 nucleotides. NCBI's taxonomy places the organism in Eukaryota, Metazoa, Arthropoda, Arachnida, Araneae, Eresidae. The record is from RefSeq and is a predicted model, not a curated record.